GAGUUUGAUCAUGGCUCAGAGCGAACGCUGGCGGCAGGCCUAACACAUGCAAGUCGAACGCCCCUUCGGGGGAGUGGCGGACGGGUGAGUAACGCGUGGGAAUGUGCCCUUUGGUACGGAACAACUGAGGGAAACUUCAGCUAAUACCGUAUGUGCCCUUCGGGGGAAAGAUUUAUCGCCAUUGGAGCAGCCCGCGUUGGAUUAGGUAGUUGGUGGGGUAAAGGCCUACCAAGCCUACGAUCCAUAGCUGGUCUGAGAGGAUGAUCAGCCACACUGGGACUGAGACACGGCCCAGACUCCUACGGGAGGCAGCAGUGGGGAAUCUUGCKCAAUGGGCGAAAGCCUGACGCAGCCAUGCCGCGUGUAUGAUGAAGGUCUUAGGAUUGUAAAAUACUUUCACCGGGGAAGAUAAUGACGGUACCCGGAGAAGAAGCCCCGACUAACUUCGCGCCAGCAGCCGCGGUAAUACG
RNAcentral lists this ribosomal RNA (470 nucleotides) under uncultured eubacterium WR123. Its description in RNAcentral is "bacterial SSU rRNA". It matches the Rfam family "Bacterial small subunit ribosomal RNA", at positions 9 to 527 of the family's 1533-position model. The record is from RNAcentral.